UCCCAAAAUAAUGAGCGAUUAUUUUUGUAUUUAUAAUGUGUGUGAUUACACAUUUUGUUUUAUGGGAGCUUAGCCCUUGUGUGUCCUCAAAUUGAAAAAACCACUCUUUCAGGUGCUCACUGUAUCAUGUGAGAGCUGUGCAGAUGCUGUUCUCUUGGGAAUAAAAGUUCAGUGUGAUUGGCACAGGGUGAAGCUUUUAAUUAAUUGGAAAUUAUCAUCAUACUGCUUGAUACUUUAGCAUUGUGAUUUGUUUAGAUCUACUCAUUUCACUUCCGUAACUCACUGUGAGGCUGAUGAACUGUCUUAUUAUGACUUGUUUCAUGAACAAAGGUCGAACUAGACUUACCUUCGAGAAGAGUGAGGGUGAUUUUUCUAAUUUUAUUGUAAACUGUAUUCAAGUGUAAUAAUUCAUAUCUAUGGAAUAGUUAUAUAAUUUACAUAAAUGAUUGAGUGAAGACCAUUUGGGGAUUAUGUAAGCUCAUCUCUUUUCUUGCCACGUAUAUGUGUAGUGCCACUCUUUAUUCUCUCGAAGACCAGAAAUGGCAGAGCUGCGUGAGCUGUUUCCAAGUCUCCUCUACAUUUCUCCCUCCCUGAGAAUAUGGUGUACCCUAUUAAGCAAGACACCUGCCUGAAAGAUAUGAAGUUCAGACCCUGAAUAUUUCACAUACUGUAUCCACAAAUUAAUGAGAUUGUAUAAUGAAAUAAAAAACCUUGAAAUUCACAAGAAAGCUUCA
Long non-coding RNA from Marmota monax (woodchuck), 734 nucleotides. RefSeq lists it as uncharacterized. The record is from RefSeq and is a predicted model, not a curated record. NCBI's taxonomy places the organism in Eukaryota, Metazoa, Chordata, Mammalia, Rodentia, Sciuridae. The transcript has 2 exons.